AACGAGCGCUGGCGGCAUGCCUAACACAUGCAAGUCGAACGAGACCUUCGGGUCUAGUGGCGCACGGGUGCGUAACGCGUGGGAACCUGCCCUUAGGUUCGGAAUAACUCCCCGAAAGGGGUGCUAAUACCGGAUAAUUUCUUCGGACCAAAGAUUUAUCGCCUUUGGAUGGGCCCGCGUUGGAUUAGCUAGUUGGUAGGGUAAAAGCCUACCAAGGCGACGAUCCUUAGCUGGUCUGAGAGGAUGAUCAGCCACACUGGGACUGAGACACGGCCCAGACUCCUACGGGAGGCAGCAGUGGGGAAUAUUGGACAAUGGGCGAAAGCCUGAUCCAGCAAUGCCGCGUGAGUGAUGAAGGCCUUAGGGUUGUAAAGCUCUUUUACCCGGGAUGAUAAUGACAGUACCGGGAGAAUAAGCUCCGGCUAACUCCGUG
This 433-nucleotide ribosomal RNA is filed under the name uncultured bacterium. RNAcentral describes it as "partial 16S ribosomal RNA". It matches the Rfam family "Bacterial small subunit ribosomal RNA", at positions 29 to 507 of the family's 1533-position model. The record is from RNAcentral.